GGAAACCAUGACUUCAUUCCUCCAUUCUUCCCAUCUAGGAGGGAUGCUACAGGAUCGGAGAGGCAAUUCUGCCCUGCUCCCUGUUUAGCUGUGUUUAUUCACAUUUAGCUGUGUUUAUUCACGGUAUCCUGGGGGCAUUGUAUGUACCCACCAGUCAUGGGAAGUUUCCUGGCAAGAAGAAAUUGACUCUGUUACAGGGGUAUAUUCUAGGAUUGCCGCCUGGCAGUAAGUAAACAUCAGCUCCAUGUAAGCCAGCUGGUGGAGUGCGAGCUUAAGUUGACUGGGAUUUUUAUAAGGAUUCUUGUGUUAGCUUUCUGUCGCUGUGGCUAAAACCUUAGAGAAGUCAAAUUAAAGGGGAGAAGACUUACUUGGGCUUAUGACUUCAGAGGUUUCUGACUCCACUGCUUUUGAAGCCAAGGCAAGACAAACUAUCUCAGCAGUAGGAGUGUAUGGCCAAGAGACUGCACACUGCCUGCCUCGUGGCUGUCAGAGAUCAGGGAAGAAGAAAGACGCCUUACAGGGGAGCCUGCCCAGUGAACUACUUCCUCCAACUAGACCUCCAGCAAUUUCUACCAGCCCCUUAUAGAUUAUUCAACCAUGCAUCUGUCAAGGAAUGGAUGAAUCCAUUGAUGAGGGCCGGACUGUUUCACCCCGUCUCCAGGCAACAGCCAGGCGCGCCAGGCGGAACGUCAUUUCCUGAAGAGCCC
Molecule: long non-coding RNA, 707 nt
Filed under: Cricetulus griseus (Chinese hamster)
Lineage: Eukaryota; Metazoa; Chordata; Mammalia; Rodentia; Cricetidae
Description: lncRNA (ENSCGRG00015040566.1)
Source: RNAcentral